Molecule: ribosomal RNA, 301 nt
Filed under: uncultured bacterium
Lineage: Bacteria
Description: partial 16S ribosomal RNA
Rfam family: Bacterial small subunit ribosomal RNA
Source: RNAcentral
CAGUCGCCGCGGUAAUACAGAGGGUGCGAGCGUUAAUCGGAUUUACUGGGCGUAAAGCGUGCGUAGGCGGCUUCUUAAGUCGGAUGUGAAAUCCCUGAGCUUAACUUAGGAAUUGCAUUCGAUACUGGGAAGCUAGAGUAUGGGAGAGGAUGGUAGAAUUCCAGGUGUAGCGGUGAAAUGCGUAGAGAUCUGGAGGAAUACCGAUGGCGAAGGCAGCCAUCUGGCCUAAUACUGACGCUGAGGUACGAAAGCAUGGGGAGCAAACAGGAUUAGAUACCCGUGUAGUCCCUGUCUCUUAUAC